This 1070-nucleotide long non-coding RNA is filed under the name Helianthus annuus (common sunflower). Its description in RNAcentral is "sRNA HanXRQr2_Chr07g0279741". The record is from RNAcentral. Lineage: Eukaryota; Viridiplantae; Streptophyta; Magnoliopsida; Asterales; Asteraceae.
UUUUUCGCUGAGUAGUGUUAUAUAUGUAGUUUUCGUAUAGAAAUUUGUGGGUAUAUACGUUUUCGCCCCCCGAUUCUAUAGAAAUUUUUGGGUAUAUACGUUUUUGCCCCCCGGCCGAAAAAUUCAAGCUUCGCCACUGCGCCUUCCAUAUUCCAGAAAGUUCCAUCCCUCAAUCGACCUUGUUGACUGAUGGUCUAAAUAAGAAUGAGCAUCUGAUCCGCCAGCAGACGAGCUUGGCUAAGGCGUGCCUGAAGUAGUCUUGGAAUGCUUUGAUGAUUGGCCAUUUGGAGAAUAUAUAAGCACAUCCAAUGGCAAAUGGACAACCGUAUGUUGCUCUAAACUCAUCAUGGGCGGCCGACAUGGCGUAUGUGUCUCUUGAACUACUCGUUCUGUUUCGAUUGUUUAUAUGGCGGUUCACAACAUUGUUGAAGUAGUUGCAUUUCGUCCUCAUUGAUGACCACUUGCCUGAGAACGAAUCGUUUGUACGGUACGGUUCGUGCUUCAUAUCAUCAAUAUUUUUUCGCGAAUCCGCCCAUGCACGAUAUACACAACGGGUAUUGAGCUAGGUAUGAGACACAAUUUUAUAAUCAGGUAUGUGUAUUUUACUAUUUUGUCAUUAAUAGUGGUUCUGAUGAUGGUCAAAUGUACGAAAAUACAGUGAAUAAAUAUUAAACGUGUCAAAGUAUACCAAUCUAAAUUGAAACGGGUAAACCGUGUUAAGUUAUAGUGAUUAAUGCUAAUCGGGUAAAAAAUUAGACAACUAAAAUGAAACAUGAAACGCUUAUUGCCAAGUAUGUGUUAUAUUGAGUUCGAAGUUUACUUUAGAAUUGAUAAUAUGAGUCAUGAUAACAAUUACAAGAAAAUUAGGUAACAGAAACAGAACCACACAAAACAAUAUCAUCAAAAUUAUGCCAGGACGUUGAUGUGCUACAAUUUAAGAUCAGCCCUACAAUUGUUGUAUGGUGACUGCAAUUUGUGAACACAAACAAAAUAUUGCGGUAGUUUUAAUGGUUCGUUAUUGCUAUUCCUACAUGUUGAUUGGAUCAAUAGCCGAAUUGGAAGAAACAUAA